Molecule: long non-coding RNA, 491 nt
Organism: Bombus pascuorum
Lineage: Eukaryota; Metazoa; Arthropoda; Insecta; Hymenoptera; Apidae
Exons: 2
Source: RefSeq, a predicted model, not a curated record
GUUGGUGUACUAGAGCGACUAUCUGGAGGACUAGCAUCAGGACUAUUGCAAGGUGUUGCAGUGGGCGUAUAAUUCCUCUCUCCACUCGGCGUUAAUGAAGUAGGGUUAGAGUAUUCUUCAUCUUCUUCAAGAUCGCUUAAAGUGAAAGUAACUAGACCUAAAUCCUCCAGGCCUCGACCUCCUCUUGUUUUUACUCCUGGCCGUUCUUCUAAAAGACCACCUAAGAAAUAAAAUAGUGAUUUAAUUAAAUAUUUUUAUAUUCACAUUCUGAUAGUUUCAUUUCUCAAUAAAUGUAAUUUAAUUAUAUACAAUAACGUGGUAGAUAAAAUACUGGUAAAUAUAAUAUUUUUCAUUGUAUUCUUGCAAGAGGCAAAGCUAUUGUAUGUAUAUUAUCUAUAUCUAUUACAAUAUAUUAUACAUAUACUGUUAUUAAAAUAUAUUAAUAAAAUAUAUUUUUUAAAAUAAUUUUAACAGAGGAUCAUACAGCAUUA